This 30-nucleotide small RNA is filed under the name Staphylococcus aureus. RNAcentral's name for it is "HMPRFS0000_2566". The record is from RNAcentral. Lineage: Bacteria; Bacillati; Bacillota; Bacilli; Caryophanales; Staphylococcaceae.
UUUAUAAAUUAAUCCAUUACAAAUUUAAUU